CUACGGGGUGCUCCAGUGAGGAAUAUUGCACAAUGGGGGGAACCCUGAUGCAGCAACGCCGCGUGGAGGAUGACGCAUUUCGGUGUGUAAACUCCUUUUAUAUGUCAAGAAAAUGACGGUAGCAUAUGAAUAAGCACCGGCUAACUCCGUGCCAGCAGCCGCGGUAAUACGGAGGGCGCAAGCGUUACUCGGAAUCACUGGGCGUAAAGGACGCGUAGGCGGGUUGGAAAGUCAGGUGUGAAAUCCUACAGCUUAACUGUAGAACUGCACUUGAAACUUCUAAUCUAGAGUAUGGGAGGGGGAGAUGGAAUUAGUGGUGUAGGGGUAAGAUCCGUAGAUAUCACUAGGAAUACCUAAAGCGAAGGCGAUCUCCUGGAACAUUACUGACGCUAAGGCGUGAAAGCGUGGGGAGCAAACAGGAUUAGAUACCCCAGUAGUC
This 439-nucleotide ribosomal RNA is filed under the name uncultured bacterium. RNAcentral describes it as "partial 16S ribosomal RNA". It matches the Rfam family "Bacterial small subunit ribosomal RNA", at positions 339 to 795 of the family's 1533-position model. The record is from RNAcentral.